RNAcentral lists this ribosomal RNA (473 nucleotides) under uncultured bacterium. Its description in RNAcentral is "SSU rRNA". It matches the Rfam family "Bacterial small subunit ribosomal RNA", at positions 26 to 521 of the family's 1533-position model. The record is from RNAcentral.
AGGAUGAACGCUGGCGGCGUGCCUAACACAUGCAAGUCGAACGUCCUGUCUCGCAAGAGGCAGGGAGUGGCGGACGGGUGAGUACCACGUGGGUCAUCUACCGUGAGGUGAGGAAUACCGGCGAGAAAUCGCCGACAAGACCGCAUAGGCUCGAUGCAAGUCGAGCAAAGCUCUUUCGAGAGAGGGAGCGCCACACGAGGAGCCUGCGCCCGAUUAGCUAGCUGGUGGAGUAACGGUUCACCAGGGCGACGAUCGGUAGCUGGUCUGAGAGGACGAUCAGCCACACUGGGAUUGAGAACGGCCCAGACUCCUACGGGGGGCAGCAGUGAGGAAUUUUCGUCAAUGGGGGCAACCCUGAACGAGCAACGCCGCGUGCAGGAAGAGGUUUUCGGAUCGUAACUGCUUUUCUCGGGGAAGAGAAUGGACGGUACCCGAGGAAUCAGCCCGGCUAACUACGCGCCAGCAGCCGCGGU